RNAcentral lists this ribosomal RNA (495 nucleotides) under Triticum aestivum (bread wheat). Its description in RNAcentral is "partial small subunit ribosomal RNA". Lineage: Eukaryota; Viridiplantae; Streptophyta; Magnoliopsida; Poales; Poaceae. The record is from RNAcentral.
AUGUUCGAGUAUGUAAAUGUUGUCAGCAAGAUGUUUGAUAGUGAGGCUGAAGGCUAUGAAUUCUACAACAAAUAUGCUCUUGAAAAAGGUUUUAGUGUGAGGAAAAGCUACGUUGAGUGGGAUGGAUCCAACAAAUACAUAAUUUUAAGGAAAAUUGUGUGUAGUCGUCAAGGGUUUCGCGAAGAUAAGCACAUGAAAAGAAAGAUGGAAGAUAGAAAGAGGAGGCCACGAAGUUUAACUCGUGUUGGGUGUAAUGCUAAAUUGGUCAUUACGAGACAGGAGGAAACCGGUCGGUGGUUUGUCAAGGAUUUCAUCGAUGAGCACAGCCAUCCUCUAGCCCCACGGGAUCUUUCUUGUCUGCUUCGUUCGCACAGACGAAUUAGCGAUGAGCAGAAAGCGGACAUUGCGGACAUGGAAAAUGUGGGAUCCGCAAAUACCGUAUUAUGGAUAUUUUGUGCUUUCAAUACGGUGGAUUUGAUAAGGUUGGAUGCAUGA